UACGUAGGGGGCGAGCGUUGUCCGGAUUUAUUGGGCGUAAAGAGCGUGUAGGCGGCUUGGUAGGUCUCACGUCAAAACCUGAGGCUCAACCUCAGUUCGCGUGGGAAACCACCUAGCUAGAGUCCGGAAGAGGAGAACGGAAUUCCCAGUGUAGCGGUGAAAUGCGUAGAUAUCGUGAGGAAUACCAGAGGCGAAGGCGGCUACCUGGACAAUUGCUGACGCUCAGGCACGAAAGCGUGGGGAGCAAAAGGG
RNAcentral lists this ribosomal RNA (252 nucleotides) under uncultured bacterium. RNAcentral's name for it is "partial 16S ribosomal RNA". It matches the Rfam family "Bacterial small subunit ribosomal RNA", at positions 524 to 776 of the family's 1533-position model. The record is from RNAcentral.